UACGGGGGGAGCAAGCGUUGUUCGGAUUUACUGGGCGUAAAGGGCGCGUAGGCGGCCACCGCAAGUCGACUGUGAAAUCUCCGGGCUUAACUCGGAAAGGUCAGCCGAUACUGCGGGGCUAGAGUGCAGAAGGGGCAACUGGAAUUCUCGGUGUAGCGGUGAAAUGCGCAGAUAUCUGGAGGAACACCGGUGGCGAAGGCGGCAUUCUGGACCGAUAUUGACGCUGAGGAGCGAAAGCCAGGGGAGCAAACGGG
Molecule: ribosomal RNA, 254 nt
Filed under: uncultured bacterium
Lineage: Bacteria
Description: partial 16S ribosomal RNA
Rfam family: Bacterial small subunit ribosomal RNA
Source: RNAcentral